RNAcentral lists this ribosomal RNA (209 nucleotides) under uncultured bacterium. RNAcentral describes it as "partial 16S ribosomal RNA". It matches the Rfam family "Bacterial small subunit ribosomal RNA", at positions 1292 to 1500 of the family's 1533-position model. The record is from RNAcentral.
UUCGGAUUGUAGUCUGNAACCCGACUACAUGAAGCCGGAAUCGCUAGUAAUCGCGGAUCAGAAUGCCGCGGUGAAUACGUUCCCGGGUCUUGUACACACCGCCCGUCACACCAUGGGAGUCGGAAAUGCCCGAAGUCGGUGACCCAACCGCAAGGAGGGAGCCGCCGAAGGCAGGUCCGGUAACUGGGGUGAAGUCGUAACAAGGUACC